This 183-nucleotide non-coding RNA is filed under the name Romboutsia ilealis. RNAcentral describes it as "6S / SsrS RNA". It matches the Rfam family "6S / SsrS RNA". From Rfam's summary of the family: E. coli 6S RNA was the first non coding RNA to be sequenced, but its function was unknown until recently. RNAcentral also lists the same sequence under 1 other name. The record is from Rfam by way of RNAcentral. Lineage: Bacteria; Bacillati; Bacillota; Clostridia; Peptostreptococcales; Peptostreptococcaceae.
AAAAUCCUGAAGCAUUCGAUACGGCUUAUUUAAAUUCAACCGACAAAUGUUGAACGGGAGACCGUGUCUACUAAAAUAUAACAUGCCUGUAUUUAUAUAGGAAGUUAAAAGUUAGUAGUAGGUCACCCACCUGGGAGUAUCUCGGGUAUGAAUUUAUUGGGCCAACGGUGUUUUGGGAUUUUU